AGUGGGAUAAGCUCAAAUUUGUAAUCUGGCAGUCCUUGGCUGUCCGAGUUGUAAUCUAGAGAAGUGCUUACCUGUGCUGGACCAUGUACAAGUCUCCUGGAAUGGAGCAUCACAGAGGGUGAGAAUCCCGUCUUUGACAUGGACUACCGGUGCUCCUAGGUGUGCUCUCAAAGAGUCGAGUUGUUUGGGAAUGCAGCUCAAAAUGGGUGGUAAAUGCCAUCUAAAGCUAAAUAUUGGCGAGAGACCGAUAGCGAACAAGUACCGUGAGGGAAAGAUGAAAAGAACUUUGGAAAGAGAGUUAAACAGUACGUGAAAUUGCUGAAAGGGAAACGCUUGAAGUCAGUCGCAUUAGGUGGAAAUCAACCUUGCUUUUGCUUGGUGUACUUUCCUUCUGAUGGGUCAGCAUCAAUUUUGGUUGCUGGAUAAGGUUCUUGGGAAUGUGGCAUCCUUGGAUGUGUUAUAGCCCUUGGACGCAUACAGCAGCUGAGAUUGAGGAACUCAGCAUGCCGCAAGGCUGGGCUUUUGUCCACACUACGUGCUUAGGAUGCUGGCAUAAUGGCUUUAAUCGACCCGUCUUGAAACACGGACCAAGGAGUCUAACAUACCUGCGAGUGUUUGGGUGGAAAACCCAUGCGCGUAAUGAAAGUGAUGGUUGAGAUCCCUGUCG
This 667-nucleotide ribosomal RNA is filed under the name Inosperma virosum. Its description in RNAcentral is "LSU rRNA". It matches the Rfam family "Eukaryotic large subunit ribosomal RNA", at positions 97 to 749 of the family's 3401-position model. Lineage: Eukaryota; Fungi; Basidiomycota; Agaricomycetes; Agaricales; Inocybaceae. The record is from RNAcentral.